This 441-nucleotide ribosomal RNA is filed under the name uncultured bacterium. Its description in RNAcentral is "partial 16S ribosomal RNA". It matches the Rfam family "Bacterial small subunit ribosomal RNA", at positions 338 to 795 of the family's 1533-position model. The record is from RNAcentral.
CCUACGGGGGACAGCAGUGGGGGAUAUUGCACAAUGGGGGAAACCCUGAUGCAGCGACGCCGCGUGGGUGAAGAAGUAUUUCGGUAUGUAAAGCCCUAUCAGCAGGGAAGAAAGAAGACGGUACCUGACUAAGAAGCCCCGGCUAACUACGUGCCAGCAGCCGCGGUAAUACGUAGGGGGCGAGCGUUAUCCGGAUUCACUGGGUGUAAAGGGAGCGUAGACGGCCGUGCAAGCCAGGAGUGAAAGCCCGGGGCCCAACCCCGGGACUGCUCUUGGAACUGUGCGGCUGGAGUGCGGGAGGGGCAGGCGGAAUUCCUGGUGUAGCGGUGAAAUGCGUAGAUAUCAGGAGGAACACCGGCGGCGAAGGCGGCCUGCUGGACCGCGACUGACGUUGAGGCUCGAAAGCGUGGGGAGCGAACAGGAUUAGAUACCCUUGUAGUC